GACGUAGGUGACGAACGUUAUCCGGAAUUAUUGGGCGUAAAGGGUGCGUAGAUGGCCUGAUAAGUUAGCAGUGGGAAAUCGAGGCUCAACCCCGUGGAAGCUGGUAAUACUGUCAGGCUCGAGUGCAGGAGAGGUUAACGGAACUCCAUGUGGAGCGGUAAAAUGUGUAGAUAUAUGGAAGAACACCAAUAACGGCGAAGGCAGUUAACUAUUCUGUUACUGACAUUGAGGC
RNAcentral lists this ribosomal RNA (232 nucleotides) under uncultured bacterium. RNAcentral's name for it is "partial 16S ribosomal RNA". It matches the Rfam family "Bacterial small subunit ribosomal RNA", at positions 524 to 752 of the family's 1533-position model. The record is from RNAcentral.